CCUGCCCUUGAGACUGGGAUAACAGCGGGAAAUCGUUGCUAAUACCGGAUAUGCUCAUGGCAUCGCAUGAUGCAAUGAGGAAAGGGGAUUACUGCUCAAGGAUGGGUUCGCGUCCCAUUAGCUAGUUGGUAAGGUAAAGGCUUACCAAGGCGACGAUGGGUAGCCGGCCUGAGAGGGUGUACGGCCACACUGGAACUGAGACACGGUCCAGACUCCUACGGGAGGCAGCAGUGGGGAAUUUUGCGCAAUGGGGGAAACCCUGACGCAGCGACGCCGCGUGAGCGAAGAAGGUUUUCGGAUCGUAAAGCUCUGUCACAGGGGACGAUAGUGACGGUACCCUGGGAGGAAGCCCCGGCUAACUACGUGCCAGCAGCCGCGGUAACACGUAGGGGGCAAGCGUUGUCCGGAAUUACUGGGCGUAAAGAGCGCGUAGGUGGUUAAGUAAGUCAGGUGUGAAAGGCCAGGGCUCAACCCUGGGAUUGCACUUGAAACUGUUUAACUUGAGGGCAGGAGAGGUAAGUGGAAUUCCUGGUGUAGCGGUGAAAUGCGUAGAUAUCAGGAGGAACACCAGUGGCGAAGGCGACUUACUG
RNAcentral lists this ribosomal RNA (590 nucleotides) under uncultured bacterium. RNAcentral's name for it is "bacterial SSU rRNA". It matches the Rfam family "Bacterial small subunit ribosomal RNA", at positions 125 to 731 of the family's 1533-position model. The record is from RNAcentral.